RNAcentral lists this ribosomal RNA (344 nucleotides) under Staphylococcus aureus. Its description in RNAcentral is "partial 23S ribosomal RNA". It matches the Rfam family "Bacterial large subunit ribosomal RNA", at positions 1 to 337 of the family's 2925-position model. The record is from RNAcentral. Lineage: Bacteria; Bacillati; Bacillota; Bacilli; Caryophanales; Staphylococcaceae.
AGAUUAAGUUAUUAAGGGCGCACGGUGGAUGCCUUGGCACUAGAAGCCGAUGAAGGACGUUACUAACGACGAUAUGCUUUGGGGAGCUGUAAGUAAGCUUUGAUCCAGAGAUUUCCGAAUGGGGAAACCCAGCAUGAGUUAUGUCAUGUUAUCGAUAUGUGAAUACAUAGCAUAUCAGAAGGCACACCCGGAGAACUGAAACAUCUUAGUACCCGGAGGAAGAGAAAGAAAAUUCGAUUCCCUUAGUAGCGGCGAGCGAAACGGGAAGAGCCCAAACCAACAAGCUUGCUUGUUGGGGUUGUAGGACACUCUAUACGGAGUUACAAAGGACGACAUUAGACGAA